RNAcentral lists this small RNA (44 nucleotides) under Plasmodium falciparum 3D7. RNAcentral's name for it is "Pfa-starR7175a". Lineage: Eukaryota; Apicomplexa; Aconoidasida; Haemosporida; Plasmodiidae. The record is from RNAcentral.
AUAUCAGUGAAGAUAAAACCCAAGUUAAUACCUUAAUGACCUAG